RNAcentral lists this long non-coding RNA (421 nucleotides) under Oryza sativa Indica Group (long-grained rice). RNAcentral's name for it is "lncRNA OsMH63_08G000740". Lineage: Eukaryota; Viridiplantae; Streptophyta; Magnoliopsida; Poales; Poaceae. The record is from RNAcentral.
GAACUAAACCAUGCCUAAAUUAUGCUUAGCUCAAUAUAGGAUUAUAGGUCAACUCAGUAGUCAUGAUAUGUACAAAAGGACGGUGCUAGCAGAUGAUUCAGAGAUUCAGAUUGAAAAAUCCGUAGGCUAUACGGAUUUGAUCAGUCAGGAGUUGCACAACGCCAACAUAAGGACUACAGGAGGCAACAAAAAAACAAAGCCCAAGAGAUUGAAAUGGAAGAUUAUCCCAUCCAAGCAGGAGAACCACUCAUUCUUGCAGAGCAGAGUUCUGUUUUCAGGGAACACCAUUCUUAAUUUGUUCCGUCAACAACAGCAGCAGGUUUCGAUGAAGGAAAGCUCAUUCUUUUGCAUGAUAAUGAAACAAUCUGUAUUUUUGUCAGUCCAGUGGCUGCUUAUGCUUAGAAACAGUGGUUUCGUGUAG